UAUUAGGUUAGCCAUGGAGAACUGCAAAUACAGUAUGUUUCUGCUGCUCUCAAUAACAUUGCUGCCCUGAAUUUAUCAGGCGCUAUCGACAAAGGUCAGUGGGAAAAAGUUGUGAUGGACUACUUUCUGGACUACUUUCUAGACAAAGAUCGUGCCAUGCAAUGCUGACUCUCUCAUUUCAUAACACGUUUUGAAAUCAGUGGAACAACGGGCCAAACAAGUUAUGCAAACUAAACGGAUACAACACAGGAUGUCUUAUAAAAGGGGUUGCAGUCGGCCAUGAAGCUUUCUUCCAUACAGCAUUAAUCAGUAGAACACACCUGCCACUAAUUCCCAGUCAUACAGUCAUCAACAAGAGAGCUGGCCCAAGCAAGCAAUGGCAGCAGCACAGUCAUUAUCUAUAUGAACCAUUUCUUCACCAACUACGGAGUUGGGAAAACUCGUGUGGACCUGAGUUGUGAUAACUGCAGUGGCCAAAACAAGUUUGUGCUCUGGUAUUGUGCCUGGUGGUUCAUGCACAAGCUCAACCAAAAUCUGAACCUUCACUUCCAGAUCACAGGCCGCACCAAGUUUGCCCCUGACUUGUGCUUUGGCCUCAUCAAGCAACGCUUCAGAAAUACCAGAGUAAACACUUUGUCUGAGAUUGGUGGUGAUGUGAAGUACAGGGGUCAGCGUCAAUGCUCCGGAGCAUGGUGUUGUUGCCAAGGAGUGUUCAGACUGUCAGGACCAGGUUUCAGCUGCUGCGCAACGCUGACAUCCUUACUUCCAUAGAUUGUCUGCCUGUAAAAGCACCACCUAGACACAGCUAGACAAACUAUAUUUUUGACAAGAUCAGGGAGUUUCGUGCCCUGCACCAAAGUCAAGGGCAGGACAGAAACAGACUCUCCGAAUAUAGAUUCACUUGUUCAUGCAUGGUUUGGACGGGCCAGUCAACAGCACUAUCUGUAGUGCCUCUAUUCACAUGACUCUCUCCCAACACACACGCCAUAUGUUGCUGCUAUUUUUUUUAUUCUGCUGCUCAGCCACUUUACCCCUGAUUGUAUGCAUAUAACUACCUUGUCUAUCACUAUCGUUAUUCUUCUUAUACGUACUGUAUAUUUUAUUUAUAUUGACACUAUCUAUUUCUGAUAUUGCUACUAUGCAAGUAACCAUUUGGCUGUACCGUUUACACCUUCUGUAGAGACUAUCCACUUCGCAAUUUAGCAGAAUAUUCAUAUGUUUGGUCGUAACAUGAUUUUGUGACCAUAAAAUUAUCAUGUGACCAUAUCAAGUCUCCACCACUUAAAUAUAUUGCGAAUGCAUUUGUUUAUGUACUGUACAUGUGCAUCUCACUCAGGUUUCAACUCGGGUUGCAUGACCUUCACUUAUGUAUGGAAUACUGUGAUAAGUGUAACAGUAUAUAAAGUAUGCUAAUGUUCUGGUGUGAAGGCAUUUGGGCAGUGGUGUAAAGUACUUAAGUAAAAAUUCUUUAAAGUACUUAAGUAGUGUUUUGUUGUAUCUGUACAUUACUAUGUAUAUUUGUCAACUUUCACUUCACUACAUUUGUAAAGAAAAUAAAUGUACUUUUUACUCCAUACGUUAUCCUUGACAACAAAAGUACUGAAGAAAAAAAAAUUUGACAGGAAAAUUGUCCAUUUCAAACACUUCUCAAGAGAACAUCCCUGGACAUCCAUACUGCCUCUGAUCUGGCAGACUCACUUAACACAAAUCCUUUGUUUGAAAAUUAUGUCUGUGUUGGCUAUCCAUCAAUAAAAGAUAAUACAA
Long non-coding RNA from Oncorhynchus nerka (sockeye salmon), 1764 nucleotides. RefSeq lists it as uncharacterized. The record is from RefSeq and is a predicted model, not a curated record. NCBI's taxonomy places the organism in Eukaryota, Metazoa, Chordata, Actinopteri, Salmoniformes, Salmonidae. The transcript is spliced from 3 exons.